AUAGCCAGUUUUGGUGGAAAUUUUUUUGUUCAAGAUUACAUUUCACGUGUUGUGAGAAGCUCGUUUCUGCUAUAACAGCAGAACCCAAGCUCAGUGCAAGAAAAGCAGCCUAUAUUUCUGCUACAGACCUGGAAUCUGCCAACUGGCUGGAUUCACAUGCCGCCAGAGAAAGGAGAUUGAAGCCAUGUGUCAAGUCUUCUCCUCCAGAAACAGCUCAACAUAAGCCCUUCUGUUAACAGGAAGACUGGCUCAGAAACACCGAAUCAGCAGUAUCAUGUGCAAACAUAAAACGAGGCAAUGAUGAGUGAGGAAAUGUAUCAAUCCCUGGGCAUGUGCCUUUGGCAGACGCUGGAUUACCACCAAAUAUGCCCAGCAAUUAUUCUCCAACAUUUCCCAGCUUCGCUGCAAUAAGGGUAGCAUGUGACUUAUUCUGGCCAAUGAAAUGAGAGUGACACUGAAGCACUAUCACUUCCAAGCACAAGCACUUUCACUGAGGCAGCGAAAAGCCUGUUUGCUAGAAUGAAAAGGACUCCCCAGAGUAAUCUUAGAAGACGCAUUUUAAAGAGGGAAGAGACUAUAUACCUGAAGAACUGUAUAAAGCAGGGAUGCCCCAAUAUUUUCACCCAUCGAAUACUGCUAGAACAAGAAAAUUCUAUUGCUUUGGUAUCAGGAUGAUGGCGGCCUCCUAAAAUGAGUUAGGGAGGAUUCCCUCUUUUUCUAUUGACUGGAAUAGUUUCAGAAGGAAUGGUAUCAACUCCUCUUUGUACCUCUGGUAGAAUUCAGCUGUGAAUACAUCUGGUCCUGGACUUUUUUUGACAGAUAGCUGUUUCUGUUGCUUGCAACCAAAUACCCUGAUUGUUGAAAAGCCAACAAUUCAAAACUCCAAAAUCUACUGUAGACUGGAGCUCUUCCUGGGGACUCUUCUGUUCCUCAACAGGCUCUGAAAGCUUCCUGGUCAUUUUGAAGUUGGAAGACUCAAUUUUGAACCACUCUCAGGCAGAAGAGAAGAGUCACUAUCCAUUGUGAUCAAAAGAAUACCUGCCGGCAGAUGAGCCACAUGCCUCAGCAGUCCAGACUUCCGUGGCGACCUCCACGGGCAAGCCUAUGCACUGGGUGCCCAGCAUGCCCUCAGGAGUGGCUGAGGCUACUGGCUGUCACAGGGCAAGGUUGUGGGAAGCCUGAAGCUGGUGGGAGGGGCACACGCAGGUGGUUCUGAGCUGAGCCUGAGUGAGUGCUACAUGAAGUAUUGUAUUUAUGUUAAAACCCACUGUUCUUAGACACUGGGCUCUGAGUCUCUCAGAAGUAGAUUUAUCCUAAGAGAUAUGUAAAUCUAUAUGAACUCCAACCUAUAUUUUUAAAUAAAAUCAAUAUGAUUCCCCUUGUAUAUUUUACUACUUUCUUUCUAAUUUGUGUCAAUGCUGCACUGAUCAAUAAAUUACAAAUUCUUACACAGAAA
This 1456-nucleotide long non-coding RNA is filed under the name Homo sapiens (human). RNAcentral's name for it is "HSALNT0109031". The record is from RNAcentral. Lineage: Eukaryota; Metazoa; Chordata; Mammalia; Primates; Hominidae.